This 84-nucleotide non-coding RNA is filed under the name unclassified sequences. The record is from Rfam.
CAGAGUAAGCGCCUAUGUGUUGAAUCACAUUUUGAAUGGUGCUUACGGGAUGCCGCCGGGUGUAAACAAGGGGCACUACUAAAC